Engraulis encrasicolus (European anchovy) is the source of this 236-nucleotide long non-coding RNA. RefSeq lists it as uncharacterized. The record is from RefSeq and is a predicted model, not a curated record. The transcript is spliced from 2 exons. Lineage: Eukaryota; Metazoa; Chordata; Actinopteri; Clupeiformes; Engraulidae.
ACACACACACACACACACACACACACACACACACACACACACACACACACGUCUAGACAAGUCCCCUUGUGUCGUUGACGUCUGGAUAAUCUCUGUACCCAUCUUCUACUCCUCUUGAUCCUGUGUGGUAUUUAUGUAAAUAACAGCAGAAGGUUGUAAUGUACUGCAAUGUACUGUACUUUACUGUACUCUGUGCUCUGGUUUCAACAGAAUAAAGAGUUCAAUUCUAACAUCCA